GCUGGCGGCACGCCUAACACAUGCAAGUCGAACGAAGUAGCAAUACUUAGUGGCAGACGGGUGAGUAACAUGUAGGUAUCUGCCCUUUGGCCUGGAAUAACACGAGGAAACUUGUGCUAAUACCGGAUAAGUCUUUACGGAGAAAGCUUUAUGCACCAUUGGAUGAGCCUGCACUUGAUUAGUUUGUUGGUGGGGUAAUGGCCUACCAAGACUGUGAUCAAUAGCUGAUUUGAGAGGAUGAUCAGCCACAUUGGGACUGAGACACGGCCCAAACUCCUACGGGAGGCAGCAGUGGGGAAUCUUGCACAAUGGAGGAAACUCUGAUGCAGCGAUGCCGCGUGAGUGAAGAAGGCCCUUGGGUUGUAAAGCUCUUUCGUCGGGGAAGAAAAUGACUGUACCCGAAUAAGAAGGUCCGGCUAACUUCGUGCCAGCAGCCGCGGUAAUACGAAGGGACCUAGCGUAGUUCGGAAUUACUGGGCUUAAAGAGUUCGUAGGUGGUUGAAAAAGUUAGUGGUGAAAUCCCAGAGCUUAACUCUGGAACUGCCAUUAAAACUUUUCAGCUAGAGUAUGAUAGAGGAAAGCAGAAUUUCUAGUGUAGAGGUGAAAUUCGUAGAUAUUAGAAAGAAUACCAAUUGCGAAGGCAGCUUUCUGGAUCAUUACUGACACUGAGGAACGAAAGCAUGGGUAGCGAAGAGGAUUAGAUACCCUCGUAGUCCAUGCCGUAAACGAUGUGUGUUAGACGUUGGAAAUUUAUUUUCAGUGUCGCAGGGAAACCGAUAAACACACCGCCU
Molecule: ribosomal RNA, 791 nt
Filed under: uncultured Pelagibacteraceae bacterium
Lineage: Bacteria; Pseudomonadati; Pseudomonadota; Alphaproteobacteria; Candidatus Pelagibacterales; Candidatus Pelagibacteraceae
Description: bacterial SSU rRNA
Rfam family: Bacterial small subunit ribosomal RNA
Source: RNAcentral